GCCUCCUCCUUCCCGCGGCGGGGCCCGCCGACCCAGCGCCCUCCGCCUCCGCUUUUAUCUGUCUGUGUGUUAGAGCUUUCCAAAAGCCUCAGGCAUUCCCCCUAUCAGUUAGUCGUUGCGGGCCUGGAGCCUGGAUAGAAUCGUAUAAUGGAAUUACAGGAUGGUCUGGGUUGGAAGCGACCUUAAAGAUCAUCCCGUUCCAACCCCCUUGCCACGGUAAGGGUCACAUUCCACUAGACCAGGUUGGUCAAAGCCCCCUCCAACCUGGCCUCGAACGCUUCCAGGGAUGGAGGCAUCCACAGCGUCUCUGGGCAACCUAUUCCAGUGCCUCACCACCCUCGCAGUUAAGAACCUCUUCUUAAAUAUCUAAACAUAUUUUCAGUUUAAAACCAUUCCCCCUUGUCCUGUCACUGCAUGCCCUUGCAAAAUGUCCCUCUCCAAAAGUCAACUAGAAAGAGAACAGUAAGAAUAUCUAUUUAUUCUUUCUCUAUUUUUAUUUAGAGCAGUCUAACUUUAAAUGGUAAAAUGCUAGAGAGGUUCUAGAGGCCUACUUUAGCCAGGAGUGCCUAAAGCAGUUCAUUUUUAUUUAGAGCAGUCUAAACCACUGGUUUGCAGACAGUAUCUUCUGCUGUGUGCUCAUUAAAACAAAGCAUAAGGGAAAUGGGCACCAGCUGCACAGAACAGGGUAGGGGCAAAGGGGACACUGGUGUCGGGCAGGGGGAUGGUGGAUGAACUGUGUCUUGCUUUCCCUGCAGAGUGAAGGUACGAGGGGCGACAAGAGCAGGAGGAAUGUGCCUCAGGGGUAAAGUUGAGGAAUAUGGUCUGGAAAAGAGGGUGACUGCACCUGAAGGCAUUGCUCAGAACAGGAAGGUGUAUGCUAAUGAAAGCAGCAAAGAAAACUACAGGAAGAAGCGCAGGCUCGGAUGAGAAGGGAAGGGUAAGUGCGAAAGUCAUCAGCGCUGAGGAGACCAGAGAAGUCACCCAGAGGCCAGGGCAGAGGGUGGAGGGAGAAGCAGCAGCGCACCAAAGCCAGAAACCAGCAGAGCCUGAGAGGAGGGCGAUACAUGGACCUAAGUGAUACAAAAUGCUGCAGUGCUUGGUUAUUCUGGAGUGAGCGUGUUGCUGUGGAGUUUCUUGCCCCAAAUUUUGAACGAUGUAUUAAUAAAUUUUAAAACUGCUAGUGUCUUCUUUGAUUU
Molecule: long non-coding RNA, 1196 nt
Organism: Manacus vitellinus (golden-collared manakin)
Lineage: Eukaryota; Metazoa; Chordata; Aves; Passeriformes; Pipridae
Source: Ensembl